UGAGGAAUAUUGGUCAAUGGCCGGGAGGCUGAACCAGCCAAGUCGCGUGAGGGAAGACGGCCCUACGGGUUGUAAACCUCUUUUGCCAGGGAGCAAGAGGCGGGUCGGGACCUGCUGUGAGAGUACCUGAAGAAAAAGCAUCGGCUAACUCCGUGCCAGCAGCCGCGGUAAUACGGAGGAUGCGAGCGUUAUCCGGAUUUACUGGGUGUAAAGGGUGCGCAGGCGGCCUGUUAAGUCAGCGGUAAAAGCCCGGGGCUCAACCCCGGCGAGCCGUUGAAACUGGCGGGCUGGAGUUGGAGAGAAGUACGCGGAAUGCGCGGUGUAGCGGUGAAAUGCUUAGAUAUCGCGCAGAACUCCGAUUGCGAAGGCAGCUCACUAGACUGCAACUGACACUGAUGCUCGAAAGUGUGGGUAUCAAACAGG
This 423-nucleotide ribosomal RNA is filed under the name uncultured bacterium. RNAcentral's name for it is "bacterial SSU rRNA". It matches the Rfam family "Bacterial small subunit ribosomal RNA", at positions 355 to 776 of the family's 1533-position model. The record is from RNAcentral.